Molecule: non-coding RNA, 27 nt
Filed under: Rattus norvegicus (Norway rat)
Lineage: Eukaryota; Metazoa; Chordata; Mammalia; Rodentia; Muridae
Source: RNAcentral
UGAGAGUGCGUUUUGGUCAUUUUGGGC